CCUCUCGAAAGAGAGAUUAAGCCCGCAUAACAUUAAGAUGUGGCAUCACAAUUUAAUCAAAUAUUUAUAGGACAAGGAUGGGCAUGCGGAACAUUAGCUAGUUGGUAAGGUAACGGCUUACCAAGGCUACGAUGUUUAGGGGAUCUGAGAGGAUGACCCCCCACACUGGUACUGAGACACGGACCAGACUCCUACGGGAGGCAGCAGUAAGGAAUAUUGGUCAAUGGGCGGAAGCCUGAACCAGCCAUGCCGCGUGCAGGAAGACGGCCCUACGGGUUGUAAACUGCUUUUAUACGGGAAUAAACCUCGAUACGUGUAUCGGGCUGAAUGUACUGUAAGAAUAAGGAUCGGCUAACUCCGUGCCAGCAGCCGCGGUAAUACGGAGGAUCCGAGCGUUAUCCGGAUUUAUUGGGUUUAAAGGGUGCGUAGGUGGCUUUUUAAGUCAGGGGUGAAAGACGGUAGCUUAACUAUCGCAGUGCCUUUGAUACUGAAGAGCUUGAAUGAACUAGAGGUAGGCGGAAUGUGACAAGUAGCGGUGAAAUGCAUAGAUAUGUCACAGAACACCAAUUGCGAAGGCAGCUUACUAUGG
This 589-nucleotide ribosomal RNA is filed under the name Mucilaginibacter sp. RNAcentral's name for it is "bacterial SSU rRNA". It matches the Rfam family "Bacterial small subunit ribosomal RNA", at positions 147 to 734 of the family's 1533-position model. Lineage: Bacteria; Pseudomonadati; Bacteroidota; Sphingobacteriia; Sphingobacteriales; Sphingobacteriaceae. The record is from RNAcentral.